CAUAAUUCCAUGUAUGUACUGUACAUAGGUUAUGAUCCACGUGUGGCAGGAAAUUGCUGACCUGGCCUGACCCUCGGUCUCGGAGGGGGGUCCGCUCCAGUACCACGAUCAUCCGUCCCUCUUUUGGUGCCACCGGACCUUGCCUGCAGGCGAAAAAACGGAUGGACUUGGCGAUCGGGACCGAGUUGUUUAUAUACAUAUAUCUCACGCGCAACUAUUAAACCAUCUAUUAUAUUAUAUCACCGCGCUUUGUGUAAAGAAAUGUUGGUGCUUGCAUAUGUAGGGUGUGGAAAAAUUAGCUCAGCGGUCAUUGCCCUUGCGGCUGACCAUACACCUAUGCGCACUUAAAUAGACCCACCUGACCGUAUGUCACCUAUUCUCUCCUUCUCUCAGGUUAUUAAAAUUGUUCGAUGCCGACAUUCUAAAAGCCACUUAAGGGAAGAAAAGU
This 448-nucleotide long non-coding RNA is filed under the name Drosophila guanche. The record is from RNAcentral. Lineage: Eukaryota; Metazoa; Arthropoda; Insecta; Diptera; Drosophilidae.